AUUUUUCAGACCAUCAUAAAUAGAUCUCUGCCGUUGCUAUAGAGAUAAAUAUUAAUGGAGUCUUUUUGUAGGCCCUAACUCCGCCAUGUUCGUUGGACAAAGCCUAUGAGGAAAAUGAAUGGCGUAUUUGUAGGGUUUUGGAUAAACGCCGAAAAUAAGGUCUGUGGGAAACACAGAUAUAGGAUAUCUUAUUUGUUCUAUUAGAUCAUCUUCAUUAUCUAACGUCACUUUUAGUUCACGUUGGAAGUUUUUUGGUAAUAAUAAAAACCAAAUCAAUCUCAUAAAGUUAAUGUAAACUGACUGCUAUUAUCAGAUCUCCUAAGCCUGUGUUCAAGAAGCAUUAUGUCGAGUUGUUGCAUUAUAAUGUCAUAUAUCUGCAGUAAUAGUAUAAUUCUAGUGUUGUAACAUAUAUUACAUAUAUGUAUAUAUAAUGCUUUGGGCUCUUACAUAACACUCCAUACAGAACCAAUCCGUCGAUAUAAUGGACAUCAUAAAUCACGCGAUGUGAAUCAGACAGUGACUCGUUGGUCAGAAGGUUCCAAUCAUCGUUUUAUGUCAUCAUUUCCGAGCAGCGUCAACCACAACUGUUAUUACACCCCGUUUACGUUGGCGGCGGUAAAGACCGUUUUUAUUGUGCAGUAACUAAAACUAGAAGAUCUGGCGUCCUUUCCCUUCGCCGAAGCGUACAUUUCCGGGGAGCCCGUGGCAUGGUGUCGUGACAGAGGUGAGGGAGAGGCUGAAAGCGGUGGCUAGCGAUCCGUCGCUGAUAAACAACUUGACUCGCUUCGGCACGGCUGCGCUGUGACUGGGUCGGGGAUGUUAGGCGAUGGAGAACAAAGUUUGGGGCAUGGUGGUACAAAUAAAGGGGGAGAGAAUGUGAGUAGGGGUUUGAAGGGGAGAGAGAAGUAUGGAGGCAGCAAAGGACGUUUGAAGAGAGCAACAGUUUCCAGCGGCAGUUCGGGGGUCGAGAGUGCAGAGGAAGGGCAAGAUGCAUCGCGAGGGAGACAGUCCCCAUCCUUGCCAAGACUCUCAAGGACGUCGCUUUAAACCACAGUCCGACCUCUCCACCCAGGAACAGCAGAACAAUCUCCACCCCGAAAAAGAUCACCGGGACAAUACCCCGGACCAGCACCCUGGAACUCCCAGCCACGACCACAAAACCACCAACCUCAAUGCCUACCACAGCCAGCGCAGCACAGACCACCCCAGCCCAGCUUCACAGCCACCCAGAUGAGGCCUCCCACCCCCCUACCCCCCACCGCAGACCCACACUUGGAGGAGCCACAGCCCAGCAGGCACAGGCUGUGAGAGGAGCAACUGGCCCAGCCCCCACCAACCAAAUGAGUGACAUUAAACAAAUGCUGAGUCUACUAUGCUCAUGGAACCAAUAUCCAAAGUGGGUACUUAGAAAGACCCAUUACUGCAUAUGAGGGGGCACCAUGGGCAGAGCAAGAUGUGAUUGGGCCGACAAUGACCAAAAAGGUUGAGAACCACUGGACUAGGCAAGUAUUAGAUGGUACAUUAACAAUCCCAACAAUGAUCAUCCAUUAGCCAAGAUGCCCAAAAUAUCCCUGUCCCAUGCUUGUUGAAGCCAAAAGUUGAAUCAUUACCUGUCUCUAAAGGCAUUGUAGACUACUAAUGUCCAUGCGAAGCACAACUUCCAACCCAUAACGGUCUUUAGAUUCCCUAUAAGAAAAUAAUUGUGUAAGCAAAGUAACUCCACUAGUCAUGCAUUGAUACAGUAGAUUAUUGUGUCCUAUGUAUCAGAUCAUGUAAAUGUCAUUCAUAUUAUAUCUUAAUUUAGAAUAAAUCAAACAGUUUUUCUUUAGAUGCCAUCUUUGAGAAGAAAAAGAGCCAGGCUGGUUUACAGAGACCUGACUAGAGGCGUGAUAGUGCCGACACCCCUGCAUCAACUUGGAUCGUCAGGGCAGUUCAACCCAUGUGUUCCUGUGGCCCUACGAUGGAAGUGCAGGAGACAAGAUGACCAUGACUGUCACAGCCAGUACAACCGUAUUCUGACUGUUAACAUUAGAGACUGGCCUGCCACCCCCCAACUGUGAGCUGGAACCUGUCACUCUGAUCCUCCACAGACUGGCCUGCCACCCCCCAACUGUGAGCUGGAACCUGUCACUCUGAUCCUUCACAGACUGGCCUGCCACCCCCCAGCUGUGAGCUGGAACCUGUCACUCUGAUCCUCCACAGACUGGCCUGCCACCCCCCAGCUGUGAGCUGGAACCUGUCACUCUGAUCCUCCACAGACUGGCCUGCCACCCCCCAACUGUGAGCUGGAACCUGUCACUCUGAUCCUCCACAGACUGGCCUGCCACCCCCCAGCUGUGAGCUGGAACCUGUCACUCUGAUCCUCCACAGACUGGCCUGCCACCCCCCAGCUGUGAGCUGGAACCUGUCACUCUGAUCCUCCACAGACUGGCCUGCCACCCCCCAGCUGUGAGCUGGAACCUGUCACUCUGUUCCUCCACAGACUGGCCUGCCACCCCCUAGCUGUGAGCUGGAACCUGUCACUCUGAUCCUCCACAGACUGGCCUGCCACCCCCAGCUGUGAGCUGGAACCUGUCACUCUGAUCCUUCACAGACUGGCCUGCCACCCCCCAGCUGUGAGCUGGAACCUGUCACUCUGAUCCUCCACAGACUGGCCUGCCACCCCCCAGCUGUGAGCUGGAACCUGUCACUCUGAUCCUCCACAGACUGGCCUGCCACCCCCCAACUGUGAGCUGGAACCUGUCACUCUGAUCCUCCACAGACUGGCCUGCCACCCCCCAGCUGUGAGCUGGAACCUGUCACUCUGAUCCUCCACAGACUGGCCUGCCACCCCCCAGCUGUGAGCUGGAACCUGUCACUCUGAUCCUCCACAGACUGGCCUGCCACCCCCCAGCUGUGAGCUGGAACCUGUCACUCUGUUCCUCCACAGACUGGCCUGCCACCCCCUAGCUGUGAGCUGGAACCUGUCACUCUGAUCCUCCACAGACUGGCCUGCCACCCCCAGCUGUGAGCUGGAACCUGUCACUCUGAUCCUCCACAGACUGGCCUGCCACCCCCCCAACUGUGAGCUGGAACCUGUCACUCUGAUCCUCCACAGACUGGCCUGCCACCCCCCCAACUGUGAGCUGGAACCUGUCACUCUGAUCCUCCACAGACUGGCCUGCCACCCCCCAGCUGUGAGCUGGAACCUGUCACUCUGAUCCUCCACAGACUGGCCUGCCACCCCCCAGCUGUGAGCUGGAACCUGUCACUCUGAUCCUCCACAGACUGGCCUGCCACCCCCCAGCUGUGAGCUGGAACCUGUCACUCUGAUCCUCCACAGACUGGCCUGCCACCCCCCAACUGUGAGCUGGAACCUGUCACUCUGAUCCUCCACAGACUGGCCUGCCACCCCCCAAAUGCCGCAAACAGUAAUUUCAGUGGACCUCCUGCGCCAGUUUGCAGCCCCGCAGCUGGAGUGAGGAGUCUCUUUGAGGGGGAUUAACUUUCCAUAACUCCAAUACAUACUGGAAGACAAUUGAGCUCUACCGGAAACUCACAAAUGAGUCAUUUGAGGAGUUCUAACACUGGCAGUUUGAACGAGAGACUGUCAGGGAUUUGGCGCCACUGACCUCGGAUGGAACAAAGUGCCUUCUCGGUCCAUAGGUCACUAAUGGUACCAGGUGUGUGACUGGUAGUGGGCUUGCUGACGGAGAACAGAUGGAGAGGUUGUGGUCCUACGUUAGAACAUUUGUGAAGAUCACAAAAGAGAUGACACCAACUCAUCGUGUUGACGCCCUCAAAGAUGCCCUCUACUACGCAUCCAGGGUCAGGGAGAAGCAAGGCAGCACCCAGUCGGACGUGGAAGUUUGGACCCGUCAGAUGAAGGAGACCCUCACAGAAAAGAGGACGUUGUUCCUUACUUGGCAGGAGAGAUGCGUGGAAACUCUCGCAGAACAACACCUGGAGAAAAGGUUGCAGGCCAUGGAGAAGAGAAACCGGAUUGUACGCUGGUCUCUUCAACACUGUGCAGCAAUUAUGGAAAGUCUGCAGACUAUUGUGGCCUGGUCAGAAAGUCUGCAGACUAAGAUGAUUCUCUGUCUGCUGGCUACAAUCCAUAGACUGGUCCUGUAGCGCUCUUCCUCUUGUGGCCUGGUCAGAAAGUAUGCAGAUGGACAAACCAUUGCUGUGUGGCUCUCCAGAAAAAUCAAGCGGACAUCGGAGAGAAUAAAACCGCAGAUCAACGCCUAAAGAUGCAUAACAUGUGCCUUAGGGCAGCAGAGGAGAGGUACACAAUACAGGAAGACCUACACAAUGGCCUUUUGUAUUGCCAGCAAGAGCUGGGGCUUUUUAAAGAUGCAUAACAUGUGCCUUAGGGCAGCAGAGGAGAGGAGAGGUACACAAUACAGGAAGACCUACACAAUGGCCUUUUGUAUUGCCAGCAAGAGCUGGGGCUUUUUAAAGAUGCAGAACAUGUCAAAUGCAGAACAUAUUUAAGCUCCAGCAAGCAUUUUCAAAUGUUGGCUGAUGAUGGCUCGGUCAGCACAGAUGUAAAAGAGGACAGUGAAUCAGAAGAUGAAAUUGGUUGAGGAAUGAAUGUCUGUGUGUGUGUGUGAGUUUUAUAGGGCAAACUAUACACUGAGUAUUUCUAACAUUAGGAACAACUUCCUAAUAUUGAGUUGAACCCCCCCAGCCCCCCUUUUGCCCUCAGAACAGACUCAAAUCGUCAGGUAAUGGACCUGUACCCCCGCACAUUGUACCGGUACCCCCUGUAUUUAGCCUCGUUAUCGUUAUUUAAUUGUUACUUUUUUAAACUUUAUUCAGUAAAUGCAUUUUCUUAACUGUAUUUUCUUAACUGCAUUGUUGUAUAAAGGGCUUGUAAGUAUUUCAUGGUCAAGUUUACACCUGUUGUAUUCGGCGCAUGUGACAAAUACAAUUUGAUUGGACUCUACAAUGUGUCGAAGCGUUCCACAUGGAUGCUGGCCCAUGUUGACUCCUAUGCUUCCCACAGUUGUGUCAAGUUGGCUGGAUGUCCUUUGGGUGGUGGACCAUUCUUGACACACGUGUGAAAAACCCAGCAGCGUUGCAGUUCUUGACACAACGGUGCGCCUGGCACUUACUACCAUAACCCCGUCCGAAGUCAUUUAAAUCAUUUGUCUUGCCCAUUCACCCUUCUGAAGGGCACACAAUCCACAUCGCAAUUGUCUCAAGGCUUAGAAAUCCUUUAACCAGUCUCCUCCCCUUCAUCUACACUGAUUUAAAUGUAUUUAACAAGUGACGUCAAUGAGGGAUCAUAUCUUUCACCUGGAUUCACCUGGUCAGUUUACGUAAUGGAAAGAGCACGUGUCCUUAAUGUUUAUUACACUCAGUGUAUAUGUUUGUCAUACUUGGGACAAAUAGGAUGUUAUGCAGAAAAAUAUGUUGGUCAGACAAGGCAAUGUAUGUUUGUGCACAUAGAAGUCAGUGAUUUAUGUUUACCUAUACUGUAGGUUAAUGAGGCAAUACAAAUGUGAUGUGACCAACAUAUGGAUUAAAUGAAAGGGCCGAGAUUCAUCAAAACCUUAAGAAGACAUUUCUUAACGGUCUUAUGAAGAAGGUUUUAUAACUCAAAAAGGUUAUUGUGCAAUUUCUUAUGUUUCCCAUUAAGCAUGAAGUUGGGAAGGAAUUAGAUUCUUGAAAAUUAAGUUAUUGGAUUUGUUCUUAAUUCCAAGAUGGCUCAACUCUUGUAUUAAACUCGGUGAGAGAAUAAGCUCAUGUUUAAUUCACUCACAAACUUCAUCUGAAAUUUUCAGUAGGGUUAUUUUAAACCCAAGAACAUGUUUUAGAACCUUAACUUGUUUGCCAUUUCUAGCUACAGUUGAAGUCGGAAGUUUUCAUACACUUAGGUUGGAGUCAUUAAAAAUAGUUUUUCAA
Molecule: RNA transcript, 5892 nt
Organism: Oncorhynchus kisutch (coho salmon)
Lineage: Eukaryota; Metazoa; Chordata; Actinopteri; Salmoniformes; Salmonidae
Exons: 11
Source: RefSeq, a predicted model, not a curated record